AUGAACGCUGGCGGCGUGCCUAAUACAUGCAAGUCGAGCGAACGGACGAGAAGCUUGCUUCUCUGAUGUUAGCGGCGGACGGGUGAGUAACACGUGGAUAACCUACCUAUAAGACUGGGAUAACUUCGGGAAACCGGAGCUAAUACCGGAUAAUAUUUUGAACCGCAUGGUUCAAAAGUGAAAGACGGUCUUGCUGUCACUUAUAGAUGGAUCCGCGCUGCAUUAGCUAGUUGGUAAGGUAACGGCUUACCAAGACAACGAUGCAUAGCCGACCUGAGAGGGUGAUCGGCCACACUGGAACUGAGACACGGUCCAGACUCCUACGGGAGGCAGCAGUAGGGAAUCUUCCGCAAUGGGCGAAAGCCUGACGGAGCAACGCCGCGUGAGUGAUGAAGGUCUUCGGAUCGUAAAACUCUGUUAUUAGGGAAGAACAUAUGUGUAAGUAACUGUGCACAUCUUGACGGUACCUAAUCAGAAAGCCACGGCUAACUACGUG
RNAcentral lists this ribosomal RNA (496 nucleotides) under uncultured bacterium. RNAcentral describes it as "partial 16S ribosomal RNA". It matches the Rfam family "Bacterial small subunit ribosomal RNA", at positions 29 to 507 of the family's 1533-position model. The record is from RNAcentral.